UGCUUUUCGCACAAAGGGGUCC
This 22-nucleotide non-coding RNA is filed under the name Rattus norvegicus (Norway rat). The record is from RNAcentral. Lineage: Eukaryota; Metazoa; Chordata; Mammalia; Rodentia; Muridae.